This 102-nucleotide small nucleolar RNA is filed under the name Meriones unguiculatus (Mongolian gerbil). RNAcentral's name for it is "Small nucleolar RNA SNORA17 (ENSMUGG00000022383.1)". It matches the Rfam family "Small nucleolar RNA SNORA17". From Rfam's summary of the family: snoRNA ACA 17 belongs to the H/ACA family of snoRNAs and is predicted to guide pseudouridylation of the 28S rRNA at positions U4659 and U4598. It shares the same host gene together with ACA43. NB This family has a high threshold value to exclude a large number of closely related sequences that do not appear to have conserved H and ACA boxes, and may be pseudogenes. The record is from RNAcentral. Lineage: Eukaryota; Metazoa; Chordata; Mammalia; Rodentia; Muridae.
ACUGCGGGUGUGGCUGCUGUGUCUCAUAUGCAGAGAAGAGAGACACUGUCUACACACAGGGUUCUGACCCGUGAACAUCUGAAUGACUCGUGGCCUAACACU